CCUACGGGUGGCAGCAGUGAGGAAUAUUGGUCAAUGGGCGCGAGCCUGAACCAGCCAAGUCGCGUGAGGGAAGACGGUCCUAUGGAUUGUAAACAUCUUUUGUCGGGGAGCAAAAGACGCCACGCGUGGCGUUCCGAGAGUACCCGAAGAAAAAGCAUCGGCAAACUCCGUGCCAGCAGCCGCGGUAAUACGGAGGAUGCGAGCGUUAUCCGGAUUUAUUGGGUUUAAAGGGUGCGCAGGCGGAAGAUCAAGUCAGCGGGAAAAUUGAGAGGCUCAACCUCGUCGAGCCGUUGAAACUGGUUUUCUUGAGUGAGCUAGAAGUAUGCGGAAUUCGUGGUGUAGCGGUGAAAUGCAUAGAUAUCACGCAGAACUCCGAUUGCGAAGGCAGCAUACCGGCGCUCAUCUGACGCUGAGGCACGAAAGCGUGGGUAUCGAACAGGAUUAGAUACCCCUGUAGUC
This 459-nucleotide ribosomal RNA is filed under the name uncultured bacterium. RNAcentral's name for it is "partial 16S ribosomal RNA". It matches the Rfam family "Bacterial small subunit ribosomal RNA", at positions 338 to 795 of the family's 1533-position model. The record is from RNAcentral.